RNAcentral lists this unclassified non-coding RNA (421 nucleotides) under soil metagenome. RNAcentral describes it as "partial contains 5.8S ribosomal RNA, internal transcribed spacer 2, and large subunit ribosomal RNA". The stretch from base 1 to 120 matches the Rfam family "5.8S ribosomal RNA", at positions 35 to 154 of the family's 154-position model. The record is from RNAcentral.
GAUGAAGAACGUAGCGAAAUGCGAUACGUAAUGUGAAUUGCAGAAUUCAGUGAAUCAUCGAAUCUUUGAACGCAUAUUGCGCUCUUUGGUAUUCCGAAGAGCAUGCUUGUUUGAGUAUCAGUAAACACCUCAACCUCUUCUUGAUUUUUCAAAAGGAGGGUGGACUUGAGCUAUCCCAACAACCUUUACCGGUCGGCGGGCGGCUUGAAAUGCAGGUGCAGCCGGACUUUUAUCUGAGCUAAAAGCAUAUCUAUUUAGUCCUCGUCAAACAGGAUUAUUACUUUUGCUGCAGCUAACAUAAAGGAUAAUUGUCCUCUUUGCUGACUGAUGCAGGAUUUUACGACACUUUAUGUGUUGUUCAACUCGAUCUCAAAUCAAGUAAGACUACCCGCUGAACUUAAGCAUAUCAAUAAGCGGAGGA